CGUGCCUCCUCGUUCAGCUGUUCUGUGACGUGCCUCUCCAGCGUGCGGUCUUCUUGCUUCAACGAGGAUGGGUGACAAUAAAUGCAAUUUUAUUGUUGCAAAGAAAGGUCGGCGUUGCCGGUUGCGGCCGCUGUCCGGAUCGCACUACUGCGGUGAGCACGUAGUGCUGUCACCGGCGGAAAACGGCGAGCAGGGCCACGAUCGGAUCGCAUGUCCCCUGGAUUCGACACACACCUACUCAUCAGCCCUACUCGACAAGCACCUGAAGAAAUGCAAUGCUAUGAAGAAGGAAUCUCAAGUAAGGAUGUUUUGUUUGAUGCAAACCUGGAUGCA
This is a long non-coding RNA of Dermacentor andersoni, 333 nucleotides long. RefSeq lists it as uncharacterized. The record is from RefSeq and is a predicted model, not a curated record. Lineage: Eukaryota; Metazoa; Arthropoda; Arachnida; Ixodida; Ixodidae.